GGAAGCGUGGCCGAGCGGUUGAAGGCACCAGUCUUGAAAACUGGCGAGGGUUUGCGCCCUUCGUGAGUUCGAAUCUCACCGCUUCCGCCA
This 90-nucleotide transfer RNA is filed under the name Massilia sp. Its description in RNAcentral is "tRNA-Ser". It matches the Rfam family "tRNA". Rfam says of the family: Transfer RNA (tRNA) molecules are approximately 80 nucleotides in length. Their secondary structure includes four short double-helical elements and three loops (D, anti-codon, and T loops). RNAcentral also lists the same sequence under 1 other name. The record is from RNAcentral. Lineage: Bacteria; Pseudomonadati; Pseudomonadota; Betaproteobacteria; Burkholderiales; Oxalobacteraceae.